This 90-nucleotide ribosomal RNA is filed under the name Mus caroli (Ryukyu mouse). RNAcentral's name for it is "rRNA (MGP_CAROLIEiJ_G0034290.1)". Lineage: Eukaryota; Metazoa; Chordata; Mammalia; Rodentia; Muridae. The record is from RNAcentral.
UCUGUCUACUGCACACAACUCUGUGACUCUCUGUUCUCAUCUGAUUUCAGAAGCUAAGCAGGGUCGGGCCUGGCUAGUAUUUGGGCAGGA